This 381-nucleotide ribosomal RNA is filed under the name uncultured bacterium. Its description in RNAcentral is "bacterial SSU rRNA". It matches the Rfam family "Bacterial small subunit ribosomal RNA", at positions 30 to 408 of the family's 1533-position model. The record is from RNAcentral.
AUUGAACGCUGGCGGCAUGCCUUACACAUGCAAGUCGAACGGCAGCACGGGAGCAAUCCUGGUGGCGAGUGGCGAACGGGUGAGUAAUAUAUCGGAACGUGCCCAGUCGUGGGGAUAACGUAGCGAAAGCUACGCUAAUACCGCAUACGAUCUAUGGAUGAAAGCGGGGGAUCGCAAGACCUCGCGCGAUUGGAGCGGCCGAUAUCAGAUUAGGUAGUUGGUGAGGUAAAGGCUCACCAAGCCGACGAUCUGUAGCUGGUCUGAGAGGACGACCAGCCACACUGGGACUGAGACACGGCCCAGACUCCUACGGGAGGCAGCAGUGGGGAAUUUUGGACAAUGGGCGCGAAGCCUGAUACCACGCAAUAGCCGCGUGCAGGA